GACAAAAUCUGCUUUCAGGGAAAGUUGCAAGGAUGUGUGUGAGUCACUCCUGAAGUAUCAGGAAACGAUGCAAGACUGCAGCAGCUGCAUAGAAUGAAGUGCUGAAAGGACUGCAGGAAGAGGACAAUACUGGGAAAUUGUAUACAGCAUCUCAUCCAUGGUGUGUUUCUGAAGGUGCCAUGCCUUCACAAACACGCCGCUGCUGCUCAAAGAAGUGUAAUAAAACUGGUACUUCUGCUUAUUUUAUUUUUCCUGCAUGUUUGAAAACCACCAUGUAACAGGUAAGUGUUGCUAUACUGAUUUCAAGAAUGAGAAUAUUUGGAGUCACAGAGAACUUAAAUGUUUUGGCCAUACAGAGCUGGUCAAAUAUAGAGCCAAAAAGAAAAUAAAUGAGCAGUCACGUGUCUUUGCUAGACUGAGUGUCUGACUACAUCUCAUCUGAUCACUGUAAAACCGAAACAAAACACUAGUUUAUGUGUCUUGCUUAUUUUGGCAUCUUUCUAGAUUAUGCCUUUUUUUUUUUUUUUUUCCCUUUGAAUAAAACCACCUAAUAGACCUGUUUGUUUUCUUUGCCGAAAUUAUCACACACACUGGAGACAGAAGUUAGUUCAGAGCCAGUGGCAAUGCUCAUAAAGCUGUCCUCAACUUCAGAAGCCCACUGCUUGGUACUUUGUCAGGAUGGAGACCUUUGAAAGUAAGAGUACCUACUAAGAGGAAAAGGGCUGUUGGUUUGGAGGUUUGUAAAAGUAGACAGGGUGUAGCCACAGGAGAGAAAUGCUCAUGUGAUUAAUGUAUGUUCUAUUUGCGUCUUUGAGGAUUAUAGAAACCAACCUGUCUGAUAUGUUGUGGCAUCUUCACCUCUCUGCCAGGGCUGAGUCUUAACUCCAGUAGGUGGGGUCAGUCACAGGCUUGUCAUCCUUGCCUCGUCUUACCUGAAAAUAGAGUUCCGUGGUUCUUAUAAUGACAGCAUUUGUUAGAACAUCUGUUCUCAGCAUUCAAAGCUGCUUAAAAUGCUCAGCAUUGAAUGUAAAAAACUUAAUAACUCUUCAUCCAGAUGACUUUGUAGCAGACAGGCAAAUCUAUUCAAACAUUCACUGGUUUAGUAGGGUUUAGAAAGGGCUCAGAGGAGAACACAGGAUUGCAAACUGUAGGAAGAGCAGCUCCAUUUACACUAAAAUUGUUUCAAUUCUGGCAUCUAAGAUACUAUUGCCCUUUUAGCCAUUCUUUGUGAAAGAAGAUACAGAUGGAACUAUGUCAAAAAAGCUUGUUAAAAACUGGUUGAGAGUCCAAAAUAGUUUUUAACAUGUUUUAUCACAGGACAACAUCUCUGCACUGUAGGCAGAAGUGGAUGGUUAUACAGACAGAGGGUUGUCCUGUCUCUCAGUACAGUGUUAUCAGAAAGCACAUUAAGUACUUUUCUCCAUACCCGAAGGUGUCUUGUCAUUAAAUCUGCUUGUGUUGGACUUGUCUGUACGCACAGGUCGCUGCAAGACUCGCUAGGGUGUGGAUUUACAGUAUGGCAGGUAACCCACAGAAACAACCUAUGGACACAGCUGUAGCCAGCAGUCGGCAGAGGAUGUCUGUUCCUCAAGGAAAACAGGGUUAGUGCACGCACACAGGCUGUUUCCAUGGAGCAGCUCACAUCACAGGCUGUAAAUCCCCACCCUCUCUUGCCUCACGCUGUCUUGUGUGUGUAGUCAUACCCCAAGCAAAGGUGAAUACAUACACCCAUGAGCUGAGCAGGAAAAGCUCAUCCUACAGAUACCAUUUAGUGUAACACAAUGCAGAGCAGAGAGCGGGGUUGAGAGAUCUGGGUGUUCCAUAGCUCACAGGAUGUUUUUUUUCCCCCACUGAAAUAAAUUGCUUCUGUGUUGUGACUA
This is a long non-coding RNA of Columba livia (rock pigeon), 1880 nucleotides long. RefSeq lists it as uncharacterized. The record is from RefSeq and is a predicted model, not a curated record. Lineage: Eukaryota; Metazoa; Chordata; Aves; Columbiformes; Columbidae. The transcript has 2 exons.